This 427-nucleotide ribosomal RNA is filed under the name uncultured bacterium. RNAcentral describes it as "bacterial SSU rRNA". It matches the Rfam family "Bacterial small subunit ribosomal RNA", at positions 355 to 774 of the family's 1533-position model. The record is from RNAcentral.
UGGGGAAUUUUUGACAAUGGGCGCAAGCCUGAUCCAGCCAUGCUGCGUGCAGGAUGAAGGCCUUCGGGUUGUAAACUGCUUUUGUACGGAACGAAAAGACUCCUUCUAAUAAAGGGGGUCCAUGACGGUACCGUAAGAAUAAGCACCGGCUAACUACGUGCCAGCAGCCGCGGUAAUACGUAGGGUGCAAGCGUCAAUCGGAAUUACUGGGCGUAAAGCGUGCGCAGGCGGGUAUGCAAGUCAGAGGUGAAAUCCCCGGGCUCAACCUGGGAACUGCCUUUGUGACUGCAUAGCUAGAGUACGGUAGAGGGGGAUAGAAUUCCACGUGUAGCAGUGAAAUGCGUAGAUAUGCGGAGGAACACCGAUGGCGAAGGCAGUCCCCUGGACCUGUACUGACGCUCAUGCACGAAAGCGUGGGGAGCAAACA